GGGGCGGAGCGAGCGUUGUUCGGAAUUAUUGGGUGUAAAGGGUGCGCAGGCGGUCUGCUAAGUCGGGUGGGUGAAAUUUCUACGGCUCAACCGAGAAACUGCCUUCGAUACUGGUGGACUUGAGUACGGAAGGGGAGCGUGGAAUUCCUGGUGUAGCGGUGAAAUGCGUAGAUAUCAGGAGGAACACCUGUGGCGAAGGCGACGCUCUGGUCCGUAACUGACGCUCAGGCACGAAAGCCAGGGGAGCGAACGGGAUUAGAUACCCCGGUAGUCCUGGCCGUAAACGUUGGGCACUAGGUGUGGGAGGUAUCGACCCCUUCUGUGCCGUAGCUAACGCAUUAAGUGCCUCACCUGGGGAGUACGACCGCAAAGGUUG
Molecule: ribosomal RNA, 376 nt
Filed under: uncultured organism
Description: partial 16S ribosomal RNA
Rfam family: Bacterial small subunit ribosomal RNA
Source: RNAcentral